GGACGAACGCUGGCGGCGGUGCCUAAUACAUGCAAGUCGAGCGAACCGAUGAAGAGCUUGCUCUCAAAGGUGAGCGGCGGACGGGUGAGUAACACGUGGGCAACCUGCCUGCAAGAUCGGGAUAACUCCGGGAAACCGGGGCUAAUACCGGAUGAUGCAUUUCGCUGCAUGGCGGAAUGCUAAAAGGCGGCUUCGGCUGUCACUUGCAGAUGGGCCCGCGGCGCAUUAGCUAGUUGGGGAGGUAACGGCUCCCCCAAGGCGACGAUGCGUAGCCGACCUGAGAGGGUGAUCGGCCACACUGGGACUGAGACACGGCCCAGACUCCUACGGGAGGCAGCAGUAGGGAAUUUUCCGCAAUGGGCGCAAGCCUGACGGAGCCAACGCCGCGUGAGUGAGGACGGCUUUCGGGUUGUAAAACUCUGUUCUUCGGGAAGAACGGCGGUCGGGUGAAUAGCCCGAUUGCGUGACGGUACCGAAGGAGAAAGCCCCGGCUAACUACGUGCCAGCCGCCGC
This 513-nucleotide ribosomal RNA is filed under the name uncultured bacterium. Its description in RNAcentral is "bacterial SSU rRNA". It matches the Rfam family "Bacterial small subunit ribosomal RNA", at positions 27 to 518 of the family's 1533-position model. The record is from RNAcentral.